CCUACGGGAGGCAGCAGUGAGGAAUAUUGGUCAAUGGCCGAGAGGCUGAACCAGCCAAGUCGCGUGAGGGAAGACGGCCCUACGGGUUGUAAACCUCUUUUGUCGGGGAGCAAAAGACGCCACGCGUGGCGUUCCGAGAGUACCCGAAGAAAAAGCAUCGGCUAACUCCGUGCCAGAAGCCGCGGUAAUACGGAGGAUGCGAGCGUUAUCCGGAUUUCUUGGGUUUAAAGGGUGCGCAGGCGGAAGAUCAAGUCAGCGGUAAAAUUGAGAGGCUCAACCUCUUCGAGCCGUUGAAACUGGUUUUCUUGAGUGAGCGAGAAGUAUGCGGAAUGCGUGGUGUAGCGGUGAAAUGCAUAGAUAUCACGCAGAACUCCGAUUGCGAAGGCAGCAUACCGGCGCCCAACUGACGCUGAAGCACGAAAGCGUGGGUAUCGAACAGGAUUAGAUACCCUUGUAGUC
RNAcentral lists this ribosomal RNA (459 nucleotides) under uncultured bacterium. Its description in RNAcentral is "partial 16S ribosomal RNA". It matches the Rfam family "Bacterial small subunit ribosomal RNA", at positions 338 to 795 of the family's 1533-position model. The record is from RNAcentral.